GACGAACGCUGGCGGCGUGCUUAACACAUGCAAGUCGAACGGAAAGGCCCUGCUUUUGUGGGGUGCUCGAGUGGCGAACGGGUGAGUAACACGUGAGUAACCUGCCCUUGACUUUGGGAUAACUUCAGGAAACUGGGGCUAAUACCGGAUAGGAGCUCCUGCUGCAUGGUGGGGGUUGGAAAGUUUCGGCGGUUGGGGAUGGACUCGCGGCUUAUCAGCUUGUUGGUGGGGUAGUGGAUUACCAAGGCUUUGACGGGUAGCCGGCCUGAGAGGGUGACCGGCCACAUUGGGACUGAGAUACGGCCCAGACUCCUCCGGGAGGCAGCAGUGGGGAAUAUUGCACAAUGGGCGGAAGCCUGAUGCAGCAACGCCGCGUGCGGGAUGACGGCCUUCGGGUUGUAAACCGCUUUCGCCUGUGACGAAGCGUGAGUGACGGUAAUGGGUAAAGAAGCACCGGCUAACUACGUG
This 468-nucleotide ribosomal RNA is filed under the name uncultured bacterium. Its description in RNAcentral is "partial 16S ribosomal RNA". It matches the Rfam family "Bacterial small subunit ribosomal RNA", at positions 28 to 507 of the family's 1533-position model. The record is from RNAcentral.